Molecule: long non-coding RNA, 262 nt
Organism: Bradysia coprophila
Lineage: Eukaryota; Metazoa; Arthropoda; Insecta; Diptera; Sciaridae
Source: RefSeq, a predicted model, not a curated record
GGGUUCGAAAUUUGAUGACAUAAAUGUUAUGAGGAAUUCUUUUGAAAAACAGAAUCUUGAAAUCGGAUGCAUUUUCCAUUAGACUUUUUUAUAUGUGCCUGAAUUGGCAUUGGUCCCUAGAACCUAAAGCCACUUUCAAAAACAUAUCUAACGCCGACCGUACGAAACACCUAUUUGUAUCAAAAGCCUUUACUGUGAAACCCUUCAUUUCUUUUACUUCAUUCUCUACUGAAAAGCUAUUCGCGCUUUAAAAUCACUUGCA